Molecule: long non-coding RNA, 869 nt
Organism: Ictalurus punctatus (channel catfish)
Lineage: Eukaryota; Metazoa; Chordata; Actinopteri; Siluriformes; Ictaluridae
Exons: 2
Source: RefSeq, a predicted model, not a curated record
CUGGUUUAAAAUCUCGUCCUGUCAACCGUCACAGGCAGCGACUUGGCAAUGUACUAUAGUACUUCGAUGAUGUGUCGGUGUCUCAUAAUUAUUCAUGAGCCUGCGUGUUCUUAUCCUAUGAGAAGAUGCUGUCUCUUAAUUAUUCAUGACAGCACAUGGUGCUUUCCUACAGAUGGAGUAGAUGAGAGAGGCAUUCAAAUGGGUCGCAGGUGUUUGUUUCAGUGGUGUAAGAGUUCGAGUGUGUUUAUUCACGAGAGCUAUGAGUACUGGAGAAAGGUGGACUUCAGACUUGCUCAUGAAAGCAGUAUGCGUUUACACAAUGAUGUGGUGCUCAGACCCAAGGACAUUUCUAUCCCUACAAAUGAGGAGAGCAGGUUCAGACCAGUGGGACUGGAAUACCAGGAGAAAGAACAGAUGUUCACCUGUCAGAGCGAAGAAGAGGAAUUGCAAAUAUGAGAACGCUGGCAUGGAUCCGAACACAGCAUUGCCAGAACUCACAUGCUCUCACACACACAAACACGACACACACAGUCCACUAGCCAAUAAUAACCGGGUGAAAUCCUGUUAAUCAGUUACAUUGUGGCACUGAUAUGCUCUCAUAUUAGCAAGCAAUUAACCGUAGAUGUACUGUAGAUGGGGCAUCUUUCAAUGGAAUUGGGAUGAAAUCUUUCAAAGUGAUUUUCUCCCUUUUCACUUUUGGGGGAACCAGAAUUUUCAAAAUGCUAGAAUUUUACUUCUGCUUACAAAAGAGUUGGGGAAGAAAACACUUCAAAAUUAUAUAAGGUAAAAAAAUAUCAAAAAUGAAGGGUUUUCCCAGGCUGCCACGCAAUUAUAAAUCCAAACAACUAAAGUAUAGUCAUUCACACUAA